Long non-coding RNA from Rattus norvegicus (Norway rat), 4157 nucleotides. The record is from Ensembl. Lineage: Eukaryota; Metazoa; Chordata; Mammalia; Rodentia; Muridae.
CUGCUACAAUUUUUACAGGCAGAGGCCAUGGUAAAACAAAUACAUCAAUGGACUCACUUAGGGGUAAGCAAACUCAUCCAGACGUUUUCAAAAACUAAAUAUUAUGUUACAGGUCUCAAGUAUCUCUUAGAACAGAUAGUGCACUGAUGUAUACCAUGCCAAAAGGUAACUGUUUUCAGGAAAGUUGACUCUGGUAGGAGGCUCCGUGGGGAAUGGCCUGGAUCCUACUGAGAAGUGGACUUCACAGAGAUAAAACCAGGAAAAUAUGGUUAUAAAUGUCUCCUAGUGUUUAUAGAUAUCUUUUCAGGAAUAGAUAGAAGCUUUCCCCACCAAACAUGAGACGGCCUCUACAAUCAUCAAGAAGAUACUGGAAGAAAUCUUCCCCCGAUUUAGAAUGCCCAAGGUAAUCUGGUCAGACAACAGUCCUACUUUCGUUGCCAAGGUAAGCCAGGGUGUGGCCAGAUAUUUAGAGGUUGAUUAAAAAUUACGUUAUAUUUACAGACCUCAAAGUUCAAGACAGAUAGAAUAAAUAAAUAAAAUUUUAAAAGAGACCCUGACCAAAUUGACCAUGGAGACUGACACAGACUGGGUGACACUCCUUCCCUCUUGCUCUCUUCAGAGCAAGAAAUACCCCUUCCAGAUUCAGCCUUACCCCCUUUGAGAUCUUAUAUGGGGCCUCAGCUCCCCUGACUGUAUUAGAUGAUGUUACUGAACCAACAUGUCAUAGUAAUAAUGAUUUAUACAGAAAGAAAUCUGCUCACAGCUGACAGCAGCCUAUGCCCCGGAGACCCCUGAGACAUGUCAUCAGUUCCAGGUUAGAGACUACAGCUACACUGAGCCCAGACACUCGAGCCUCGCUGGAAAGGACUAUACCUGGUGAUGCUGACCACCCUGACAGCCGUCAAUUCUCAGCCCUCACCAGCAGCGUACUAGCUGUUGGGGCUGAGAGCUGGGACCUAGAGGGACACUCAGAUCUUCAAAAAGCUCCCUAGACUUAAGUGACUGAGAGGUUGCUAUAAUGCUCACUUGAAGAGUGUGUUUUAAAAACAAAAAUUUCAUGUUUGCCUGUUUGCCCUGGGUUCCCUCGGAAUAGGUGUAAGGAUAGGCUUGAUUUUUAUUGCAAAUGAUAUAACAUUACAUAUGUUAGUACUCCUAACACUUCUUGAGACUGUGCCUCAGGGAUCACAAUCUAUAUAAGUUUAAAAGUUCUAAAAGACCUUGGUGUAUAGGUUCAGAUAGUGUCCAGAUUAAAAUCCUGAUGCUAAAGACUUAAUAAGACACAAAAGAGAGUUAAAAAUUAUUUAAGGCUAUCUAGGUGCUACAAGGACAGCACAAGGACAUCUACAGUUGCCCUACAAUACAAGGCUUAUAGAGAAUUAGGAACUGCCAUUGACUCAGAUAUAAAAAGAAUAAAAAAGACUUUUUAGCUGACCUCCAAGAAUACUUAACCUCCCUCUCAGAGGUAGUCCUUCAAAAUAGGAAAAGAUUAGACCUGAUAUCCUUUAAAAAAGGAGUCUGUGUGCUACACUAAAAGAAGAAUGCUGUUUCUAUGCAGAUCAGACAGGAAUAAUAAGAGAUACAGACUUUCAGUCAUUCAAACUUUUGUGCUGAGACAACAGUAUCAGAUGGUGAAACAACAAAAAAACAGAGGUACCUUAACCAAGUUGAGUGGAAGAUUCCACUCAAAGACAAAAAAAGAAAAUGGGGGAAUGAAAGACCCCCUCCCAGAAAGGGAAUUGUACAAGCCCAAGGCCCUCAACUAUAGAAGUAAAAAGUAAGUUUUUAGAUAUGUGGGACAAGCUGACCCAUCAUUUAAACGAAACAGACCAGAAAAGAAAACAAAAUGCAGAAACCAGACUAAAUUAUGGACAUUGCUCCAUGGGCCACCUGGCAGGAAAAAGAAACAGUCCCUGACCCCCCGGAAGCCCUGACCACCAUGUACUUUUUGCUAACUCACUGUUAUGAUUAUAGCGAAAAUAGGUAACAUACACGUAUGCCUCAUUUACUCCACCAAUCACAUCCCUGUAACCAUACAUCCCUGGUUCUGCUAGGCGCGCCAGUCUUCCAAAUUGACUGGGAUGCCCACAGAUACCUGUGUAUCCUGAUCAAUAAAAAUCCUCUUACAGAUUACAGCCUGUGGACUCGGUCUGGUCAUUGGGCUUGAAGAUCUCCCUCCUGAGGGAAGAUUCUCUCUGAGAGUCUUACAAAUAGAAUGCUGGAAUAUGGACUAAAGACAUAGGAAACCUAUUCAGUGAGACAUUAUUAUUAGAAAGUCUCCUCUAUCUAUUGAAAUACUAGGACAUCCAAGUACAGAAAUAAUUAGACCACCUGAUAGAUGACCUAAAACAGUCUUGUCUUAUGCUGAGCUUGCAGAACAGGAGAACAAUACUGCAGGGUACUACAGAGGGGUGCCAAGGGACUUACAAAGUACCCAACUGACAAACCAUUCAGAACAACAGGGCAUUUCUUGAUAGAAAUCUUCAAGGCCAGAGCAUGGAACGAUGCACUCUGAGCACUCAGAAAAUAACUGAGAGCCAGCAUGGCAACAGAAAAAAGUGUCCUUUUAAAAACCUUCAGGAUGGGUGUGACUAAUGCAAUGUGUGACCACUGCGCCAUCACUGAAGAAGUUACUUACAGGAAAAUUCUAAACACAAGGAAGAAGACACAAUCAGGAGUGCAGGAGAAAUAAAUCUUGCAGUUCUAAGGAACCAACAGCAGUAACUCGGUAAGUGCUGGUGAGCUUUUCAUCAACGUGAUGCACGCACACUGGAGUCACCUGUGAAGAAGAGACCUCAGGUUUUAACCUUGACUCAAACAUAAAUAGAAUUGAAAAGCAAAAAUCAGUAAGCAAUCACUGAUUGCAGCAGGAACUCACCGAGCUGGCAGAGGCAUACCAAGACUGAAAGUGAAAGGAGCAAGAAUGAACAAAUGGGACCUCAUAAAACUGCAAAGCUUCUGUAAGGCAAAGGACACUGUCAUUAGGACAAAACCACAACCAACAGAUUGGGAAAAGAUCUUUACCAAUCCCACAUGUGAUAGAGGGCUAAUAUCCAAAAUAUGCAAACAACUCAAGAAGGUAGACUCCAGAGAGUCAAAUAACCCCAUUUAAAAAUAGGGUAAAGAGCUAAAAAAAGAAUUCUCAGCUGAGGAAUAUGGAAUGACUGAGAAGUGGCUUAAAGAAAUGUUCAACAUUCUAAGUCAUCAGGGAAAUGCAAAUCAAAUCAAUCCUGAGAUUCCACUUCACAUCAGUCAGAAUGGCUAAGAUAAAAAACUCUGGUGACAACAGAUGCUGGCAAGGAUGUGGAGAAAGAGGAACACUUCUCCAUUGUUGGUGGGAUUGCAAGCUGGUACAACCACUCUGAAAAUCACUCUGGAGGUUCCUCAGAAAAUUGGACAUAGUACUACCUGAAGACCCAGCUAUACCAUUCCUGGGCAUAUACCCACAAGAUGCUCCAACAUAUAACAAGGACAUGCUCCACCAUGUUCAUAGCAGUCCUAUUUAUAAUAGCCAGAAGUUGCAAAGAACCCAGAUGCCUUUCAAUAGAGGAAUGAAUACAGAAAAUGUGGUACAUCUACACAAUGGAAUAUUACUCAGCUAUCAAAAACAACGAGUUUAUGAAAUUCCUCCAGGUAAUCAGGGCUACUGUGAGAAUCCUAUCAGCAGCACUAUACUCCACGGGGAAUGACUGAAAUUACUUCCUCUAACAUCAACAUGGAGCCAAGGGUGACCUUUCCAUCAACUAUUAUUUAAAAUAAGUUUGAGACAUCAGAGCAGUAAGUCAGGAGAAAAAUACAAAAGAGAUACAAACCAGAAAGGAAGAAGUCAAAUUACCCUAUAAGUAGAUGAGAUGCUUCGAUAUUUAAAAUCCCUCGGGACUGGCAGAGCGCUUGCCUGGCGUAUGCAAGGCUCUGAAUUUGAUCCUCUAAACCGUACAGGAUGAAAAAGUGUCUGAACAGCAUCCAGGGUUCAACCUGAUGGCUCUGCACAAGGCUGAUGAUCCGAGUUGUAGCCCCGGAACUCCAUAGAACUCCAUAGAAAGGAGAUUAAGGAGCCAUGCCUUGGUAAUCCCACCUCAGAAUUCACUCGGAAGCUGAAGGGCCAUCUGACCUGGAACACUGUGCUGAAUGAAACAUGGGAGGGACUUUGCCUCAAAAGU